This 206-nucleotide unclassified non-coding RNA is filed under the name plant metagenome. RNAcentral describes it as "partial contains small subunit ribosomal RNA, internal transcribed spacer 1, and 5.8S ribosomal RNA". The record is from RNAcentral.
GUAGGUGAACCUGCGGAAGGAUCAUUCAUAAUAAAGUGUUUUAUGGCACUUUUUAGAAAUCCAUAUCCACCUUGUGUGCAAUGUUAGAUCUCGUCAAUCUUGGCGAGAUUUUUAUACAUCAACUCAUUCUUUAACUAAUUUGUCUGAAAAAUAUUAUGAAUACUUAAUUCAAAAUACAACUUUCAACAACGGAUCUCUUGGCUCUC